Molecule: ribosomal RNA, 699 nt
Filed under: uncultured Bacteroidales bacterium
Lineage: Bacteria; Pseudomonadati; Bacteroidota; Bacteroidia; Bacteroidales
Description: bacterial SSU rRNA
Rfam family: Bacterial small subunit ribosomal RNA
Source: RNAcentral
CAGCAUGAUUGAAGCUUGCUUCAAUUGAUGGCGACCGGCGCACGGGUGAGUAACACGUAUCCAACCUGCCGAUAACUCGGGGAUAGCCUUUCGAAAGGAAGAUUAAUACCCGAUAGUAUAGUAUUUCCGCAUGGUUUCACUAUUAAAGAAUUUCGGUUAUCGAUGGGGAUGCGUUCCAUUAGAUAGUUGGCGGGGUAACGGCCCACCAAGUCAACGAUGGAUAGGGGUUCUGAGAGGAAGGUCCCCCACAUUGGAACUGAGACACGGUCCAAACUCCUACGGGAGGCAGCAGUGAGGAAUAUUGGUCAAUGGACGAGAGUCUGAACCAGCCAAGUAGCGUGAAGGAUGACUGCCCUAUGGGUUGUAAACUUCUUUUAUACGGGAAUAAAGUGGAGUAUGCAUACUCCUUUGUAUGUACCGUAUGAAUAAGGAUCGGCUAACUCCGUGCCAGCAGCCGCGGUAAUACGGAGGAUCCGAGCGUUAUCCGGAUUUAUUGGGUUUAAAGGGAGCGUAGGCGGGUGCUUAAGUCAGUUGUGAAAGUUUGCGGCUCAACCGUAAAAUUGCAGUUGAUACUGGGCGCCUUGAGUGCAGCAUAGGUAGGCGGAAUUCGUGGUGUAGCGGUGAAAUGCUUAGAUAUCACGAAGAACUCCGAUUGCGAAGGCAGCUUACUGGACUGUAACUGACGCUGAUGCUCGAAAG